This 100-nucleotide signal recognition particle RNA is filed under the name Candidatus Merdivicinus excrementipullorum. RNAcentral describes it as "signal recognition particle sRNA small type". It matches the Rfam family "Bacterial small signal recognition particle RNA". Rfam says of the family: The signal recognition particle (SRP) is a universally conserved ribonucleoprotein involved in the co-translational targeting of proteins to membranes. Archaeal SRP consists of a 7S RNA and homologues of the eukaryotic SRP19 and SRP54 proteins. The record is from RNAcentral. Lineage: Bacteria; Bacillati; Bacillota; Clostridia; Eubacteriales; Oscillospiraceae. RNAcentral also lists the same sequence under 1 other name.
GGAGUGGUCCUGCGCGAUGAAGCACCGUGAACCAUGUCAGGCGGGGAACCGAGCAGCAUUAAGCGGAUGUCUUCAUGUGAUGCAGAUCAGCCUCCCCUUC